This 274-nucleotide ribosomal RNA is filed under the name uncultured bacterium. Its description in RNAcentral is "partial 16S ribosomal RNA". It matches the Rfam family "Bacterial small subunit ribosomal RNA", at positions 80 to 353 of the family's 1533-position model. The record is from RNAcentral.
UAAGUUUGAUGGCGACCGGCGCACGGGUGNGUAACACGUAUCCAACCUGCCGAUGACUCGGGGAUAGCCUUUCGAAAGAAAGAUUAAUACCCGAUGGCAUAGUUCUUCCGCAUGGUGGAACUAUUAAAGAAUUUCGGUCAUCGAUGGGGAUGCGUUCCAUUAGGUUGUUGGCGGGGUAACGGCCCACCAAGCCUUCGAUGGAUAGGGGUUCUGAGAGGAAGGUCCCCCACAUUGGAACUGAGACACGGUCUAAACUCCUACGGGAGGCAGCAUG